AGACGAAGGUGGCAACCGUUGUUCGGAAUUACUGGGCAUAAAGCGCACGUAGGCGGGAAAGCAAGUCGGGUGUGAAAUCCCUCGGCCCAACCGAGGAACUGCGCCCGAAACUGCUUUUCUUGAGGACAGAAGGGGAGCAUGGAAUUCCUGGUGGAGCGGUGAAAUGCGUUGAUAUCAGGAGGAACACCGGCGGCGAAGGCGAUGCUCUGGUCUGUUUCUGACGCUAAGGUGCGAAAGCCAGGGGAGCAAACGGGAUUAGAUACCCCAGUAGUCC
RNAcentral lists this ribosomal RNA (274 nucleotides) under uncultured bacterium. RNAcentral describes it as "partial 16S ribosomal RNA". It matches the Rfam family "Bacterial small subunit ribosomal RNA", at positions 523 to 796 of the family's 1533-position model. The record is from RNAcentral.